Molecule: long non-coding RNA, 749 nt
Filed under: Cricetulus griseus (Chinese hamster)
Lineage: Eukaryota; Metazoa; Chordata; Mammalia; Rodentia; Cricetidae
Description: lncRNA (ENSCGRG00015027262.2)
Source: RNAcentral
CUGCAUUUCCAAUCAGGUGCCAAAAUUCCAAGAUUUGCCAUGAGCAAAGGUUGUGUGUAUGAGUGGGCAGGUUGAAAAUUGUUUAGUCACCCCAAGACCGGAUACUAAAAGCCACUGGUACAAUGUACCACAGGCUGGCAUAUCACUCAGCCAGAGCUUCGCUUUAACUGAGUGGAGGCUCAGUUCACAAAGACUGGCAAUAAAAGAGCUGCAAGAAAACCAUUAUGCAGAAAAAAAAGAGAAGAGAAGAGAAGAGAAGAGAAGAGAAGAGAAGAGAAGAGAAGAGAAGAGAAGAAAGAAGCACUGACCUAUUAAAAAGGAAGAAAACUGGCUUGUGCUGGAUGGCGCGUCCCCUGAGGUUUGGACACAUCGACUACAGAACACAGAAGAGCAGAGAGCCAGGAAACCCAGGAGUAAGCACAGCUGGAGUCUGUAAAGUUCUCCCUUCUUUGAUUCAGAGAGAAACAAGUAAGCAGUUGCCCUACUGCUCCAGCUGUUCGUUUCUGUUGUCUGGAAUGUAUAAUAAACGGAGUUCUAAAAACCAGCAGUGUGUUGCCUACUUUCUCCUUCACCAAAUUUUACUAACUUGGUUGGUGUCUUUCAGGAAACCUUCCCUCAUAGACCUUCCAUGAAAACAGCUUAGUUAUUCUGUGUGAUAUUCAAAUUGUGUAAGUAGACAAAGAAAUUUCUUCCAAACCUCUAGCUGCAGAAGUUACAGGGGAAGACCUCACAGUCAUUUUGUCCAAAAC